CUAAGUCGCAUAAAUAUGCUUCUAUCAGUAGGUCUAGUUAGGGGGGUAGUAAUAUGGGUUGUUAGGUCUUAAUGUAGUUGGAAGUAAAGUGUCAUUGUUUGCUUUACUGCUGUGAAAUGUUGAAAUUUUAUUUGGCUUAUGUGGUACAUAUUACUUGUGUUGUGAUUACUCAGUAGAAGUGGAAGACCCGUAUUAAAAAAAUAAUAAUGAUAAAAAAAAAUCUUUAAUUGGUUAGUGUUUUCUUCACCAGUGUGUCCAACUAUACUAUAGUUUUCCUAACUGUCGAGUGAUGGACAUGGUUUUGGUUUAGAAUUAAAUUGAAAUGUUGAGAUGAUUGUAAAAGAAAAAGCUGGCAAUCUGCGUGAUAUUCUACCUACUUAAGUAGUUGACCGCUACUGCAUUCAAAUGAGUGAGUAAGCUAUCUGUUAGCUUGAGUUCGUGCUAAUCAAGUUGGAAGCUGGAAUGGGUUUGCCACAAGGUGGAAUAGGUGUCACACCACUAAAUCCAAAGCGAUUUGGCUUUACACGUUGCUCUUUGUAGGAAAGAUCUUAUUCCGUUCUGGUAAGUCUAUCCAUUCCACUCUCGCAUUUCCCCUAGUAUAAAUAAAGACCAGGGUUUCAACUGCAUGCUAAACUCAGAAACAGAGAGAGAGGUUUCAUCGAAAUCUAUGGCGUCUAAAUCAUGAAACAAUCACGAAUACAUAUGUUGUAAACCUGUAGCUCACAAAGCUUUGGUAAUUAUUUUCAUAUCCCCUGUAUUUUGUUAGUGGCUAUACUAUGACUUUCUUAAUAUGUUGUUAAUGUUAUGCAGUAUUGUGAUUGACAACUUAAUUUUUACAAAUGUUUCUUUCCACAUCUUAAUCCAUUUGGUUUUAUGCACUACAUAUUUGUGUUGACAGUUUUCAUACGAAAGCUGAAAGGGUUGUGUGAUAUCAAUUGAUCUAUCAACUGAUUCAUUUUAAAAAGAAAAUCUAUUUUGACAUAAUACCCUUGAUAAGUUUAUGAAAUAUCCCCAGUUUUUCCCUACAUUUUCUAUAGCUAUUUUCAUGUCUAUCCAUCAUGUUGUUUUUAAUUUUAUAUAAUGGUUUAUCUGUCAUGGAUUUGUGAGCUUCCAUGUUAGUUAUCAAGCUGCAUACAUUUAUGCUAUAUAUGGUUUCAAUUAUAUAUGAAGUAAAGCAUGUAUUUAGUGCUGGAAAUGAUUAUAUAUGUUGGAUAUACAUACAUACGCAUGUACGUAUAUAUACAUAUGUGUUUCAUUAGAGGCAUUUCUAUGGUAAUGUUCCUUUUGUUAUGAGUAUUUUGUUUUAGAUUAACCAAAAUAACUUUUCAAUUGAGUACUGUACUUCAUUUCACUGGUUGAUUACCAUUGUUUCCGUCAUGUUAGUUCGUUGGGAUUCAACCAAUUAGCUGGAGUACGAGAUUACCAAUCAUCAUUGUCUUUAGGUAGUGCAUGGUGUUCAAUGAUCUCAUGACUCCUAUGGUGGUGGUUACUAAAUUAAACCAUAUCUUGAGAUAAAGUGUAUGAAUACUCGUACUAAUCUAUUUGCUUGGUUCGCAAACAUCACCUCUCUUAUGAGAUGGACUAUCUUGAAGUUUUUGGUUGAAGAUUGUCCUAGAAUUAAGAGUUAAAGGUUGUCUGAGAUACAAGUGACUCUCUUAAAUGUAGGUUCAAAGUCAGAGUUUGGACUACUGGAAGUAGUCAUUUAUUCGAUAAAGUUUCGUUGAAGAAACAAAUUCACAUGUGAUCCAUGUUAUUCAUUGAAUUUUCAUGGAUUAAUUCUAUGGUGGUGAUUGGAGCACAAGUUUCUGUUAGGGUCCAUUAGAUGACUUAGGAGUAUUUCUAUGUUUGCAUAGUUUUGCAAACACCACAUUUCUUUCAGAAAAGAAUUAGUUGGGAACCGUCCUAAAUUUAUAAGAUGGGGGAUGUCUUAGAACUUUGAUGUAAGAGACUCUCUUAGACAGGAGUUUAAAAUUAAGGUUUAGAUUUACUGAAGUAUUUAUUAGUUCGAUUAUGUUAAGGAGAGGAAACCAACUCACAUGUGACUCACUCCUACUCAGAAAGGUAAUAGUUAAGUGACAUUCUCAUUCCUACAUGAGUUGGUAUUAUAUACAUGGUGAUUCAUUCCUAUACAACUGGGGUUGUAUGAUGAACUACUUUGUUUAUACCAUAUUUAGGGCCUCCGUAUUUAGAUCUCGUACAAAUACUCGGGGGACUUAAAUGUAAUUAUGUAAUAAAGGAAUAAGCAAAUAUGUAAUAAGUGAGGAGCCCUUAUUUAAUAAAAGGACCCAUCACCCUCACAAUUAGAAGAGGCCAAUUCCUAGGCCCUCUCAUCCUCAGAAGCUCUCUCUCACAAUCCUUUCAGAAAUACAAUAAUCAGUGUGGACGUAGCCCAAACAUUGGGGUGAACCACGAUACAUCUUGUGUUAUUUACACUUUCUUGCAGAUUCACAGUCGGAUUUACGUUGUUCCAAGACCUCCGGUUUUGUGCAUCAACAUUUGGCGCCUUCUGUGGGAAUCGAUACGAAAAUUUGUGUCGGUUCUCUUUCAUUUUUUCACCUCCACCAUGAAUCUGCAAAAUCUGGAAGAACCCAAAAACCUCACUCUUUGAGCUUUUCCAAAAAAAAAAAAAAACUGUCGCAGACCUCCAACCACCUCUCUCUCCUCUCUCAGCCAGUUACACACUGAAACCAAAAACAAAGAAAGAAACAAAUCCACUCAAUAAAUGUGAAAAAUCGCCAUGAAAAUGAAGGCAAAGAGCUCCAGAGCAAAGUUGGGCUUACCCACCGUCUUCCUCCUCUGCUCCCUCUUCUUCUUCGCCGGUUUAUUCAUCUCCACCCUCCUCUCCCAUGCCUCCGUCCCUCGCUUAAUCUCCAGAACUCUGGAAUCCG
This 2888-nucleotide long non-coding RNA is filed under the name Malus domestica (apple). RNAcentral's name for it is "long non-coding RNA (MDOM_LNC000252)". Lineage: Eukaryota; Viridiplantae; Streptophyta; Magnoliopsida; Rosales; Rosaceae. The record is from RNAcentral.